RNAcentral lists this non-coding RNA (176 nucleotides) under Zetaproteobacteria bacterium. RNAcentral describes it as "6S RNA". It matches the Rfam family "6S / SsrS RNA". Rfam says of the family: E. coli 6S RNA was the first non coding RNA to be sequenced, but its function was unknown until recently. Lineage: Bacteria; Pseudomonadati; Pseudomonadota; Candidatius Mariprofundia. The record is from RNAcentral.
AUCGUGCUGCGGAGUACGUGAAUGCGGCUUUAUCUCGGUGGUCGAUGCUUUUCGCAUAGGGAGCUGUCCCUGACUUUACCCACCAGUUCGGCUGUAGGGGAUUGAUAUAUGGCGCCCACCUAAUACUUUAGGACCCCGCGAAGAUACCAUACGCACACGGCUUUUGCGGCACACUU